This 422-nucleotide ribosomal RNA is filed under the name uncultured bacterium. RNAcentral describes it as "partial 16S ribosomal RNA". It matches the Rfam family "Bacterial small subunit ribosomal RNA", at positions 361 to 774 of the family's 1533-position model. The record is from RNAcentral.
AUCUUCCGCAAUGGACGCAAGUCUGACGGGGCAACGCCGCGUGCGUGAUGAAGGUUUUCGGGUCGUAAAACUCUGCUGUUUGGGACGAACAAGUACCGUUCGAUUAGGUCGGUUCCUUGCCGGUACAUAUCCAGACAGCCACGGCCAACUAUGUGCCAGCAGCCGCGUUAAUACGUAGGUGGCAAGCGUUAUCCGGAACUAUUGGGCGUAAAGCGCGCGCAGGCGGUUUCUUAAGUCUGAUGUGAAAUCUUACAGCGUAACUGUAAGCGGUCAUUGGAAACUGGGAGACUGGAGUGCAGAAGAGGAGAGGGGAAUUCCAUGUGUAGCGGUGAAAUGCGUAGAGAUAUGGAGGAACACCAGUGGCGAAGGCGACUCUGUGGUCUGUAACUGACGCUGAGGCGCGAAAGCGUGGGGAUCAAACA